AGAGUUUGAUCAUGGCUCAGGACGAACGCUGGCGGCGCGCCUAACACAUGCAAGUCGAACGGAGUUAUGUUGGUUGAAGUUUUCGGAUGGAUACCGACAUAACUUAGUGGCGAACGGGUGAGUAACGCGUGAGUAACCUGCCCUGGAGUGGGGGACAACAGUUGGAAACGACUGCUAAUACCGCAUAAGCCCACGGCCCGGCAUCGGGCUGAGGGAAAAGGAUUUAUUCGCUUCAGGAUGGACUCGCGUCCAAUUAGCUAGUUGGUGAGGUAACGGCCCACCAAGGCGACGAUUGGUAGCCGGACUGAGAGGUUGAACGGCCACAUUGGGACUGAGAUACGGCCCAGACUCCUACGGGAGGCAGCAGUCGGGAAUAUUGCGCAAUGGAGGAAACUCUGACGCAGUGACGCCGCGUGCAGGAAGAAGGUUUUCGGAUUGUAAACUGCUUUAGACAGGGAAGAAACAAGACAGUACCUGUAGAAUAAGCUCCGG
Molecule: ribosomal RNA, 492 nt
Filed under: uncultured bacterium
Lineage: Bacteria
Description: bacterial SSU rRNA
Rfam family: Bacterial small subunit ribosomal RNA
Source: RNAcentral